UACGAAGGGGGGCUAGCGUUGCUCGGAAUCACUGGGCGUAAAGGGUGCGUAGGCGGGUCUUUAAGUCAGGGGUGAAAUCCUGGAGCUCAACUCCAGAACUGCCUUUGAUACUGAGGAUCUUGAGUUCGGGAGAGGUGAGUGGAACUGCGAGUGUAGAGGUGAAAUUCGUAGAUAUUCGCAAGAACACCAGUGGCGAAGGCGGCUCACUGGCCCGUUACUGACGCUGAGGCACGAAAGCGUGGGGAGCAAACAGG
This 254-nucleotide ribosomal RNA is filed under the name uncultured bacterium. RNAcentral describes it as "partial 16S ribosomal RNA". It matches the Rfam family "Bacterial small subunit ribosomal RNA", at positions 524 to 776 of the family's 1533-position model. The record is from RNAcentral.